Long non-coding RNA from Globicephala melas (long-finned pilot whale), 466 nucleotides. RefSeq lists it as uncharacterized. The record is from RefSeq and is a predicted model, not a curated record. NCBI's taxonomy places the organism in Eukaryota, Metazoa, Chordata, Mammalia, Artiodactyla, Delphinidae.
GCUUGGAUGGUGCAAGGUCAGGGCUCCGCGUGUGGCCCCAGCUAGUGGUGCGCGUAGGGGCUGCUCCCGGUCCCGCCACGAGGAGCGGCGGGUUUCCCAGCGGCGGGCCCGGCCGGGGGCGCAUGGGCACGACACGGGUCCUGGCGGAGCCCGAGCCACCACUCACCAUCCUGGGAGAGCGACAGCGGCAGCAGCAGCAGAAACGCUGAGAGCACCAGCGCGAAGCGCAUCGUGUCCUGGCCUCAGACCCGGAGCAGGCAGGCAACUGACUGAAAAAGAGGUUUAAGAAACUUGCUCGAGAUCACAUAACUGCUAACUGUCAGGCCUGCUUCUGAAAGUAUCAAUAAUUUGGAGACAUACUUGGCGCAGUGCCUGACGUGUAGUAAUCGCUCACUGCUGGAAGGAUGCAGAGCCUGGAACCCCCUGCGGAGGAGGCGCAAGGGUGGCGCCGAAGAAAGGGAAGCAG